AGAAUCAACGCUGGCGGCGUGCCUAACACAUGCAAGUCGCACGAGAAAGGGGAGCAAUCCCUGAGUACAGUGGCGCACGGGUGAGUAACACGUGAAUCAUCUACCUCCGAGUGGGGAAUAACUGAGAGAAAUCUUAGCUAAUACCGCAUAACACUUACGAGUCAAAGCAGCAAUGCGCUUGGAGAGGAGUUCGCGGCAGAUUAGUUAGUUGGCGGGGUAAUGGCCCACCAAGACGAUGAUCUGUAUCCGGCCUGAGAGGGCGCACGGACACACUGGAACUGAAACACGGUCCAGACUCCUACGGGAGGCAGCAGUGGGGAAUUUUGCGCAAUGGGGAAACCCUGACGCAGCAACGCCGCGUGGAGGAUGAAGCCCUUGGGUGUAAACUCCUUUCGAUCGGGAAGAUAAUGACGGUACCGAUAUAAGAAGCCCGGACUAACUUCGUGCCAGCAGCCGCGGUAA
This 462-nucleotide ribosomal RNA is filed under the name uncultured bacterium. RNAcentral's name for it is "SSU rRNA". It matches the Rfam family "Bacterial small subunit ribosomal RNA", at positions 26 to 523 of the family's 1533-position model. The record is from RNAcentral.